RNAcentral lists this ribosomal RNA (618 nucleotides) under Burkholderia sp. IBa234. RNAcentral describes it as "bacterial SSU rRNA". It matches the Rfam family "Bacterial small subunit ribosomal RNA", at positions 395 to 1007 of the family's 1533-position model. The record is from RNAcentral. Lineage: Bacteria; Pseudomonadati; Pseudomonadota; Betaproteobacteria; Burkholderiales; Burkholderiaceae.
UGCCGCGUGUGUGAAGAAGGCCUUCGGGUUGUAAAGCACUUUUGUCCGGAAAGAAAUCCUUGGCUCUAAUACAGUCGGGGGAUGACGGUACCGGAAGAAUAAGCACCGGCUAACUACGUGCCAGCAGCCGCGGUAAUACGUAGGGUGCGAGCGUUAAUCGGAAUUACUGGGCGUAAAGCGUGCGCAGGCGGUUUGCUAAGACCGAUGUGAAAUCCCCGGGCUCAACCUGGGAACUGCAUUGGUGACUGGCAGGCUAGAGUAUGGCAGAGGGGGGUAGAAUUCCACGUGUAGCAGUGAAAUGCGUAGAGAUGUGGAGGAAUACCGAUGGCGAAGGCAGCCCCCUGGGCCAAUACUGACGCUCAUGCACGAAAGCGUGGGGAGCAAACAGGAUUAGAUACCCUGGUAGUCCACGCCCUAAACGAUGUCAACUAGUUGUUGGGGAUUCAUUUCCUUAGUAACGUAGCUAACGCGUGAAGUUGACCGCCUGGGGAGUACGGUCGCAAGAUUAAAACUCAAAGGAAUUGACGGGGACCCGCACAAGCGGUGGAUGAUGUGGAUUAAUUCGAUGCAACGCGAAAACCUUACCUACCCUUGACAUGGUCGGAAUCCUGCUGAGAG